RNAcentral lists this ribosomal RNA (253 nucleotides) under uncultured bacterium. RNAcentral's name for it is "partial 16S ribosomal RNA". It matches the Rfam family "Bacterial small subunit ribosomal RNA", at positions 524 to 776 of the family's 1533-position model. The record is from RNAcentral.
UACAUGUGGGGCAAGCGUUGUUCGGAAUUACUGGGCAUAAAGGGUGCGUAGGCGGCUUGUUAGGUCAGGGGUGAAAGUUUUCGGCCCAACCGGAAAAUGGCCUCUGAUACUGGCGAGCUCGAGUGCGUGAGGGGUGACUGGAACGAGCAGUGUAGCGGUGAAAUGCGUAGAUAUUGCUCGGAAGGCCAACGGCGAAGGCAGGUCACUGGUACGCAACUGACGCUGAGGCACGAAAGCGUGGGGAGCAAACAGG